RNAcentral lists this small RNA (125 nucleotides) under Marmota monax (woodchuck). The record is from RNAcentral. Lineage: Eukaryota; Metazoa; Chordata; Mammalia; Rodentia; Sciuridae.
GCUGGGUGUGGUGGUGCAUGCCUGUCAUCCCAGCAGCUCAGGAGGCUGAGGCAGGAAGAUCACGAGUUCAAAGUCAGCCUCAGCAAAGGCAAGGUGCUAAACAACUCUGUGAGAUGCUGUCUCUA